Molecule: small nuclear RNA, 115 nt
Filed under: Heterocephalus glaber (naked mole-rat)
Lineage: Eukaryota; Metazoa; Chordata; Mammalia; Rodentia; Bathyergidae
Source: RNAcentral
AUGCCCACUCUGGCAGCACAUAUACUGCAACUGGAACAAUACAGAGAAAAUUAGCAUGCCCCCCCACACACAAGGAAGACAUGCAAAUUCAAAAAGCAAAAACAGCCAGGGAUUU